UGAACGCUAGCGGCAGGCUUAACACAUGCAAGUCGAGGGGUAUCACGCUUUCGGGCGUGAGAGACCGGCGCACGGGUGCGUAACGCGUAUGCAAUCUACCUUUUGCAGAGGGAUAGCCCAGAGAAAUUUGGAUUAAUACCUCAUAGUAUAGAACAAUCGCAUGAUUGAACUAUUAAAGUCACAACGGCAAAAGAUGAGCAUGCGUCCCAUUAGUUAGUUGGUAAGGUAACGGCUUACCAAGACUACGAUGGGUAGGGGUCCUGAGAGGGAGAUCCCCCACACUGGUACUGAGACACGGACCAGACUCCUACGGGAGGCAGCAGUGAGGAAUAUUGGACAAUGGGCGCAAGCCUGAUCCAGCCAUGCCGCGUGCAGGAUGACGGUCCUAUGGAUUGUAAACUGCUUUUGUACAGGAAGAAACACCUCUACGUGUAGAGACUUGACGGUACUGUAAGAAUAAGGAUCGGCUAACUCCGUG
RNAcentral lists this ribosomal RNA (478 nucleotides) under uncultured bacterium. RNAcentral's name for it is "bacterial SSU rRNA". It matches the Rfam family "Bacterial small subunit ribosomal RNA", at positions 30 to 507 of the family's 1533-position model. The record is from RNAcentral.